Long non-coding RNA from Anolis carolinensis (green anole), 634 nucleotides. RefSeq lists it as uncharacterized. The transcript has 2 exons. Lineage: Eukaryota; Metazoa; Chordata; Lepidosauria; Squamata; Anolidae. The record is from RefSeq and is a predicted model, not a curated record.
GAAGGCAGGCAGGCCACGCCCCUCCCUCCCUCCGCGUCCGGCUUCACAGGCCCCGCUCUGCCCACGGAAGCCCCGCCUUGCCAGCCUAGAUCUGGGCCGAGCGAGGCCUGUCCAUCAAUUAUAACUCCGUGGGCAGAGCGAGGCCCGUCCAUCAAGGCUGGGGGCGGCACGCAGCCAAUGGGGAGCCUCCGGUGGGCGGGGCGUCAGGGGCUCAACCAAUGGGAGCGGGGAGGCCGAGGACGUCGUCGCCGCCGCCUCGCCUCAGGCCUGGUUUGGCCUUCUCUCGAUCUUUGUGAGGCGGAAGGAAGAUGGCGGAGCAGAGGCUGGAGAGACUGAGGAGAGAGACUGAGGGAGGAUGAAGGGGAGGAGGACGCCAUGUCAGAACCCUGCUACUAGAGCCUGGAUGUGGCUCUGAGUUUCAGGGUCACUGACAUUGAUAAGACACCUGCGGCUCAGGACUUGGAGAAGAAACGGCUGCUGGACUUGGCGGGGAAUUUGCGCGGGGUUUUACUGAGCGGGAAGAGACUGUUCAAAUGAGGGGGAGGGUAUAUAAAGGAGGGUUGGCCGUAGUAUCCCAUUCUUGGCUUUUCUGAUGUUCAUGUUUCCUACAGUAAAAGUUUCUGGUGAUACCACA